This 3156-nucleotide small RNA is filed under the name Pan troglodytes (chimpanzee). RNAcentral's name for it is "retained intron". Lineage: Eukaryota; Metazoa; Chordata; Mammalia; Primates; Hominidae. The record is from RNAcentral.
AUAAGCAAAAUGGCCUCAGACUGAAGAGGAUGGUCAUAAAGUCUGUGUGGAACAGACGUCAGAGUGGAAUUUUCAGACUUAAUGGAGAGGAUCUAAGUAAGCUCUGGAUUUUGAAAUGAGUGAAUCUAUGGAGCUGUGAUCUCCUACAAAUCAAAUGGGGAAUGUCUGUGGAUGUGUAAGAGCUGAGAAAGAAGAACACUAUGUAGAUCCUGCCAAAACUCCUUUGAACCCUGAAAAAUACUCUCCUGGAAGAAAAUAUUUCAGAAGAAAACCGAUCAAGAAAACUGGAGGUGACAAAGAGUCAGUUGGGGCAAACAAUGAAAAUGAAGGCAAGAAGAAGAGCAGCAGUCAGCCUUCAAAAGAACAGCCAGCUCCUUUAUCCAGGGGACUGGUACAGCAGGAAUCUGUUACCCUAAACUCUGCACUGGGAGAUGGUAUUCAGCAAAAGAAUACAGAAGUUGUAGCUGACAGCGUUAAACAGAAACUUCUGCCGAGUGCUGUAAGCAGUUGGUCUGACCAUGUGAACACUUCUCCUGCUAAAGACAGUGAAACAGAAGUAAAAGUUAGUGAACUGGAUGAAAGGAUUUCAGAAAAAGACAGCACUCCAUAUUGCGCAAAGAGGAAGAAACAUUUAGAUGAUGUCAACACAAGCGAAAUAACAUUCCAGGAAAAAACUGAUGUUUUUUCUUUUCGAAAGGCAGCCAGCUUAAGCUCUAUUCCCUCGGGUAUAGAAAGAUCACUCGAAAAAAGUGGGUUUGCUGAAGACCCACCAAAAAGUUAUAGCAGUAUUCAAGAAAAGCAAAACACUGAGAGAUUUUGUCCUCAUGCAACACAGCAUUUUCAGUUUAAAAAAAAGAGAUGCCAUUCCCUUUAUACUAGUAUGUCCUCUGUUUCUAAGGACACAGAUGGAAAUGAGAUAUCUGAUAUCCAUGUUACUGGAGAGUCAGAGGAUAUGUCUGCAAAAGAGAGAUUGCUACUCUGGACGCAGCAGGCAACAGAGGGUUAUGCUGGAAUUCGGUGUGAAAAUUUCACUACCUGCUGGAGAGAUGGAAAAUUAUUUAAUGCCAUCAUUCAUAAAUACAGGCCGGACCUGAUAGAUAUGAAUACUGUUGCUGUUCAAAGCAACCUUGCAAAUUUAGAGCAUGCUUUCUACGUAGCAGAAAAAAUUGGUGUUAUAAGACUUCUGGACCCUGAAGAUGUCGAUGUCUCCUCACCUGAUGAAAAAUCAGUAAUAACUUAUGUGUCAUCUCUCUAUGAUGCAUUUCCUAAAGUCCCUGAAGGUGGGGAAGGCAUUGGUGCAAAUGAUGUUGAAGUCAAAUGGAUUGAAUACCAGAAUAUGGUGAACUACCUCAUCCAAUGGAUUAGACACCAUGUGACCACAAUGUCUGAGAGAACAUUUCCUAAUAAUCCUGUAGAACUGAAGGCACUUUAUAAUCAGUAUUUACAGUUUAAAGAAACAGAAAUUCCACCAAAGGAGACAGAAAAAUCAAAAAUUAAACGUCUAUAUAAAUUAUUAGAGAUUUGGAUAGAAUUUGGACGCAUCAAGCUCCUUCAAGGUUAUCAUCCAAAUGACAUAGAAAAAGAGUGGGGGAAACUCAUUAUUGCCAUGCUAGAGAGAGAGAAGGCCCUUCGUCCAGAAGUAGAAAGGUUAGAAAUGUUGCAACAGAUUGCCAACCGAGUUCAGAGGGACAGUGUCAUCUGUGAAGACAAACUGAUUCUUGCUCGAAAUGCUCUUCAGUCUGAUUCUAAAAGAUUAGAAUCAGGAGUGCAGUUUCAGAAUGAAGCAGAAAUUGCUGGGUAUAUACUUGAAUGUGAGAACCUUUUACGCCAGCAUGUAAUUGAUGUACAGAUUCUUAUUGAUGGAAAAUACUACCAGGCAGAUCAAUUGGUACAGAGGGUUGCAAAACUGCGUGACGAAAUUAUGGCCUUAAGGAACGAAUGUUCUUCUGUGUACAGCAAAGGACGCAUACUGACAACAGAACAGACAAAGCUCAUGAUAUCAGGAAUCACUCAAAGUUUAAACUCAGGAUUUGCACAGACCUUACACCCUAGUCUGACCUCAGGGCUGACCCAGAGUUUAACACCUUCCCUAACCUCUUCUAGUAUGACUUCUGGCCUGUCAUCAGGGAUGACUUCCCGCCUGACUCCAUCUGUCACUCCAGCUUAUACACCUGGUUUCCCAUCAGGAUUAGUUCCAAAUUUCAGUUCAGGAGUAGAGCCAAAUUCAUUGCAAACUCUGAAGUUGAUGCAGAUCCGAAAACCCCUUCUAAAGUCUUCUUUGCUGGAUCAAAAUUUAACAGAAGAGGAAAUCAAUAUGAAAUUUGUUCAGGAUCUUUUGAAUUGGGUUGAUGAGAUGCAGGUACAACUGGACCGCACUGAGUGGGGCUCAGAUUUGCCAAGUGUUGAAAGCCAUUUAGAAAAUCAUAAAAAUGUUCAUAGAGCUAUUGAAGAAUUUGAAUCUAGCCUCAAAGAAGCUAAAAUCAGUGAGAUUCAAAUGACAGCACCUCUUAAACUGACUUAUGCAGAAAAGUUGCACAGAUUAGAGAGUCAGUAUGCAAAACUCUUGAAUACAUCCAGGAAUCAAGAACGGCACCUUGAUACACUCCAUAAUUUUGUAAGUCGUGCGACUAAUGAACUUAUUUGGUUGAAUGAAAAAGAAGAGGAGGAAGUUGCUUAUGACUGGAGUGAGAGAAACACCAACAUAGCCAGGAAAAAAGAUUAUCAUGCUGAAUUAAUGAGAGAACUUGAUCAAAAGGAAGAAAAUAUUAAAUCAGUUCAGGAGAUAGCAGAGCAGCUACUUCUAGAAAAUCAUCCAGCCCGGUUAACUAUUGAGGUAAAGCUGGAAAGUGUAAUGGUGUUGGUUGAAUAUUGAUAUGAUUAUUUCCCUUCAGAUUCUUUUAUUGCUGAGAAGUUGAAAAUUACAAGCCAUCUAACUUUUGUUAAAACCUGGCUCAAAAACGUUUCUGACAAAUUGUACUGAUUGCCUUCAGUUCUCUGGCUCUAAGUAUGUCACCCAUCACUUAGAAUAAAAGUACCCUUGUCAGCCUCUGUGGCUGAGAAGAUGUAUUGCUGUAAAUAUGAAGUACCUUCUCUGUGUAAGCAUUGCCAUAUUAUUUAUUUCUGAUUGUGUAACAUUGCACAAGUGACAUAGUAUUG